RNAcentral lists this ribosomal RNA (253 nucleotides) under uncultured bacterium. RNAcentral's name for it is "partial 16S ribosomal RNA". It matches the Rfam family "Bacterial small subunit ribosomal RNA", at positions 524 to 776 of the family's 1533-position model. The record is from RNAcentral.
UACGUAGGCAGCGAGCGUUGUUCGGAAUUACUGGGCGUAAAGAGUGUGUAGGCGGUGCUCUAAGUUCGGUGUGAAAUCUCCUGGCUCAACUGGGAGGGUGCGCCGGAAACUGGAGUGCUUGAGCGUGGGAGAGGAAAGCGGAAUUCCUGGUGUAGCGGUGAAAUGCGUAGAUAUCAGGAGGAACACCUGUGGGGUAGACGGCUUUCUGGACCAUAGCUGACGCUGAGGCACGAAAGCGUGGGUAGCAAACAGG